Molecule: ribosomal RNA, 253 nt
Filed under: uncultured bacterium
Lineage: Bacteria
Description: partial 16S ribosomal RNA
Rfam family: Bacterial small subunit ribosomal RNA
Source: RNAcentral
UACGUAGGGUGCAAGCGUUGUCCGGAAUUAUUGGGCGUAAAGAGCUCGUAGGCGGUCUGUCACGUCGGCUGUGAAAACCUGGGGCUCAACCCCGGGCCUGCAGCCGAUACGGGCAGACUAGAAUUCGGUAGGGGAGACUGGAAUUCCUGGUGUAGCGGUGAAAUGCGCAGAUAUCAGGAGGAACACCGGUGGCGAAGGCGGGUCUCUGGGCCGAUAUUGACGCUGAGGAGCGAAAGCGUGGGGAGCAAACAGG